UGUUUAUUAUGAAUGAAUUGACUUGAAUUCCCCAAUUUUUUUGAAUUUGUAGGUAUUGUUGUGAUUACUGCGAGAUACUUACUUGACGCAUGAUUCUGUUAUACUGAUGGAAGUGCCACCGUAAUGUUAAUCAAUUGUUUCCACACUGCUACUAGUGCUGAAGCGACAAGAUUUAUGCCGCUGCAUCAAUUUCUAGCAAUGGUCAACACAUAUACAUUUUUAUCCACACCCCAACUCUCUAUGCCAUGUACAUUAUGAGUAAGAUGCCACCCACCUUUUCUGUUCUCGUCAAAGCUAAACUUUUGAUGUUGUUUUGAACUACCAUUAUUCAUGUAGAAAUUCAAGAGUCUCCGUGAAACUGUUGAGCAUAAGCAAAGUGGAUUUGUGCCAUUAUCUAAACAUAUUACAACUUAUGGCGUUCAUCCGAUUAUGGCACCAUUGUUUCUGGAACCAUGGUGUAUAAUGUGUACAUAUAUUGUUUUUUGAAGGGCAAGUAAAACUAUCAAUCUUGAUAUGACUCUGCAUUAUUUGCUCUUCUUUUCUAAUAAAAUAAAGUGAAAAACUUAAAAUACAUAUGAUUUGUUCAGG
This is a long non-coding RNA of Helianthus annuus (common sunflower), 588 nucleotides long. RefSeq lists it as uncharacterized. The record is from RefSeq and is a predicted model, not a curated record. NCBI's taxonomy places the organism in Eukaryota, Viridiplantae, Streptophyta, Magnoliopsida, Asterales, Asteraceae. The transcript has 3 exons.